Molecule: ribosomal RNA, 500 nt
Filed under: uncultured bacterium
Lineage: Bacteria
Description: partial 16S ribosomal RNA
Rfam family: Bacterial small subunit ribosomal RNA
Source: RNAcentral
AUUGAACGCUGGCGGCAUGCCUUACACAUGCAAGUCGAACGGCAGCACGGGAGCAAUCCUGGUGGCGAGUGGCGAACGGGUGAGUAAAGUAUCGGAACGUGCCCAGUCGUGGGGGAUAACGUAGCGAAAGUUACGCUAAUACCGCAUACGAUCUAUGGAUGAAAGCGGGGGAUCGCAAGACCUCGCGCGAUUGGAGCGGCCGAUAUCAGAUUAGGUAGUUGGUGGGGUAAAGGCUCACCAAGCCGUCGAGCUGUAGCUGGUCUGAGAGGACGACCAGCCACACUGGAACUGAGACACGGCCCAGACUCCGACGGGAGGCAGCAGUGGGGAAUUUUGGACAACGGGCGAAAGCCUGAUCCAGCCAUGCCGCGUGCAGGAUGAAGGCCUUCGGGUUGUAAACUGCUUUUGUACGGAACGAAAAGGUUUGGCCUAAUAAGCUGAGCUCAUGACGGUACCGUAAGAAUAAGCACCGGCUAACUACGUGCCAGCCGCCGCCGUAA